This 254-nucleotide ribosomal RNA is filed under the name uncultured bacterium. RNAcentral describes it as "partial 16S ribosomal RNA". It matches the Rfam family "Bacterial small subunit ribosomal RNA", at positions 524 to 776 of the family's 1533-position model. The record is from RNAcentral.
UACGGGGGGAGCAAGCGUUGUUCGGAUUUACUGGGCGUAAAGGGCGCGUAGGCGGCCACCGCAAGUCGGUUGUGAAAUCUCUGGGCUUAGCCCAGAAAGGUCAACCGAUACUGCGGGGCUAGAGUGCAGAAGGGGCAACUGGAAUUCUCGGUGUAGCGGUGAAAUGCGUAGAUAUCGAGAGGAACACCUGCGGCGAAGGCGGGUUGCUGGGCUGACACUGACGCUGAAGCGCGAAAGCUAGGGGAGCGAACGGG